GCGCAGAUACCAAAGUGGCCAACUGGGGCUGACUGUAAAUCAGCUGGCUUUGCCUUCGGUGGUUCGAAUCCGCCUCUGCGCA
RNAcentral lists this transfer RNA (82 nucleotides) under Porphyromonas bennonis. It matches the Rfam family "tRNA". From Rfam's summary of the family: Transfer RNA (tRNA) molecules are approximately 80 nucleotides in length. RNAcentral also lists the same sequence under 6 other names. The record is from RNAcentral. Lineage: Bacteria; Pseudomonadati; Bacteroidota; Bacteroidia; Bacteroidales; Porphyromonadaceae.